RNAcentral lists this ribosomal RNA (508 nucleotides) under uncultured bacterium. RNAcentral describes it as "partial 16S ribosomal RNA". It matches the Rfam family "Bacterial small subunit ribosomal RNA", at positions 29 to 523 of the family's 1533-position model. The record is from RNAcentral.
AUUGAACGCUGGCGGCAUGCCUUACACAUGCAAGUCGAACGGCAGCGGGGGAGAAGCUUGCUUUUCCUGCCGGCGAGUGGCGAACGGGUGAGUAAUACAUCGGAACGUGCCCUGUAGUGGGGGAUAACUAGUCGAAAGAUUAGCUAAUACCGCAUACGACCCGAGGGUGAAAGUGGCGGAGCGCAAGGCCUCAUGCUAUAGGAGCGGCCGAUGUCUGAUUAGCUAGUUGGUGGGGUAAAGGCCGACCAAGGCGACGAUCAGUAGGUGGACUGAGAGGCAGAUAAGCCACACUGGGACUGAGACACGGCCCAGACUCCCACGGGGGGCAGCAGUGGGGAAUUUUGGACAAUGGGCGAAAGCCUGAUCCAGCAAUGCCGCGUGUGUGAAGAAGGCCUUCGGGUUGUAAAGCACUUUUGUCCGGAAAGAAAUGGCUCUGGUUAAUACCGGGGGUCGAUGACGGUACCGGAAGAAUAAGGACCGGCUAACUACGUGCCAGCCGCCGCAGUAA